CUGGCGGCGUGCUCAUACAUGCAAGUCGAACGAGAAUUCACCUCGGGUGGAAGAAAGUGGCGGACGGGUGAGUAAUGUGUAGAGGAUCUGCCCUAGAGUGGGGGACAACAGCUGGAAACGGCUGCUAAUACCGCAUAUGCGCGUAGCUGAGAUGCUAUUCGUGAAAACUCCGGUGCUCUGGGAUGAGUCUGCAUCUGAUUAGCUAGUUGGGGGUGUAAUGGACCACCAAGGCGACGAUCAGUAGCUGGUUUGAGAGGAUGAUCAGCCACAAUGGGACUGAGACACGGCCCAUACUCCUACGGGAGGCAGCAGUAGGGAAUUUUGCGCAAUGGGGGGAACCCUGACGCAGCAACGCCGCGUGAUUGAAUAAGCCCUUCGGGGUGUAAAGAUCUGUCAGUGGGGACGAAACUUGACGGUACCCACGGAGGAAGCAUCGGCUAACUCCGUGCCAGCAGCUGC
RNAcentral lists this ribosomal RNA (459 nucleotides) under uncultured bacterium. RNAcentral describes it as "bacterial SSU rRNA". It matches the Rfam family "Bacterial small subunit ribosomal RNA", at positions 36 to 518 of the family's 1533-position model. The record is from RNAcentral.